AUUGAACGCUGGCGGCAGGCCUAACACAUGCAAGUCGAGCGGAUGAAGGGAGCUUGCUCCUGGAUUCAGCGGCGGACGGGUGAGUAAUGCCUAGGAAUCUGCCUGGUAAUGGGGGAUAACGUCCGGAAACGGGCGCUAAUACCGCAUACGUCCUGAGGGAGAAAGUGGGGGAUCUUCGGACCUCACGCUAUCAGAUGAGCCUAGGUCGGAUUAGCUAGUUGGUGGGGUAAAGGCCUACCAAGGCGACGAUCCGUAACUGGUCUGAGAGGAUGAUCAGUCACACUGGAACUGAGACACGGUCCAGACUCCUACGGGAGGCAGCAGUGGGGAAUAUUGGACAAUGGGCGAAAGCCUGAUCCAGCCAUGCCGCGUGUGUGAAGAAGGUCUUCGGAUUGUAAAGCACUUUAAGUUGGGAGGAAGGGCAGUAAGUUAAUACCUUGCUGUUUUGACGUUACCAACAGAAUAAGCACCGGCUAACUUCGAG
Molecule: ribosomal RNA, 484 nt
Filed under: uncultured bacterium
Lineage: Bacteria
Description: partial 16S ribosomal RNA
Rfam family: Bacterial small subunit ribosomal RNA
Source: RNAcentral